GACGAACGCUGGCGGCGUGCUUAACACAUGCAAGUCGAGCGGAAAGGCCACUUCGGUGGUACUCGAGCGGCGAACGGGUGAGUAACACGUGAGUAAUCUGCCCCUGGCUUUGGGAUAGCCACCGGAAACGGUGAUUAAUACCGGAUACGACCACUUCUCGCAUGGGAUGGUGGUGGAAAGUUUUUUCGGCCAGGGAUGUGCUCGCGGCCUAUCAGAUGGAUGGUGAGGUAAUGGCUCACCAUGGCUUCGACGGGUAGCCGGCCUGAGAGGGUGGCCGGUCACACUGGGACUGGGCCGCGGCCCAGACGCCUACGGGAGGCAGCAGUGGGGAAUAUUUGACAAUGGGCGGAAGCCUGAUCCAGCAAUGCCGCGUGAGGGAUUACGUCCUUCGGGUUGUAAACCUCUUUCAGCAGGGACGAAGCGCAAGUGACGGUACCUGCAGAAGAAGCACCGGCCAACUACGUGCCAGCCGCCGCCGUAA
RNAcentral lists this ribosomal RNA (481 nucleotides) under uncultured bacterium. RNAcentral describes it as "partial 16S ribosomal RNA". It matches the Rfam family "Bacterial small subunit ribosomal RNA", at positions 28 to 523 of the family's 1533-position model. The record is from RNAcentral.